GUAGGUGGCAAGCGUUGUCCGGAUUUAUUGGGUUUAAAGGGUGCGUAGGCGGUGUCCUAAGUCAGUUGUGAAAUACGGCAGCUUAACUGUCGAGGUGCAAUUGAUACUGGGACACUUGAGUACUGAUGAGGUAUGCGGAAUGGACGGUGUAGCGGUGAAAUGCUUAGAUAUCGUCCAGAACACCGAUAGCGAAGGCAGCAUACUAAGGAGUAACUGACGCUGAGGCACGAAAGUGUGGGGAUCAAACAGGAUUAGAUACCCUGGUAGUCCACACUGUAAACGAUGAUCACUCGAUGUUGGCGAUACACAGCCAGCGUCUUAGCAAAAGCGAUAAGUGAUCCACCUGGGGAGUACGCCGGCAACGGUG
This 367-nucleotide ribosomal RNA is filed under the name uncultured bacterium. Its description in RNAcentral is "bacterial SSU rRNA". It matches the Rfam family "Bacterial small subunit ribosomal RNA", at positions 527 to 896 of the family's 1533-position model. The record is from RNAcentral.